UUGACAUUCGUGGAACAAAUACUCAUUGAGAGCCUUUUAUGUCCCAAGCACUGUGCUGGGGAAUGCAGUUAGAAAAUAAUGAGUCCAACCAGACCUGGUUCCUGCCUUCAUGGAACUUACAUGUAGGAAAGACGGAAGCUGCAACUUAUCCAGCUCUGCAGGAGUGGUGUGAGGCCUUUGACGCUCAUCCUGACUCCUGACUGAUGAAUUAUUUGGUCGACUGAGGCAGAAUCACCUUUACUGGAGCAUAAUCUGUUGGAGGCAGCAUCUCCUGAAGUCUCCAUGAGUUGCUGGAAUGAAGAAAUGUGUCAUAUGUGAACCAAAACACAUGUAAAAAUUGUUGACAAUAGCACCAUUUGUAAAAGACUAAAACUGGAAACCACCAAAUGAUCAGCAACAGAGAAUAAAAAAUUAUGGCUUAUUUCUACAAUGGAUUGCUAUGCUGCAGUAAGAAUGAAUGAACAGCAGCUACACACAACCGGUAUGGAUGAAUCUCAUGAACACAAUGUGAAGGGAAAGAAGGCAGAAACAUACUUAUCACACCCUCCAUUUAUAUAAAACUCAGAGACAAAACAAAUUUAUGGUGUUAGGAGUCAGGUUCCUUUGGGGAAGAGAGAGGGAGUAGUACCUGAAUGGAGGGGGCAUGGAGGGGGCUUCGGGCAUGCUGGUAAGAUUUUUGUUUUGUUUUUAAUCUGAGUGAUAUAGGUGGUAGUUACUUUUUGAUGUUACAUCGAGCUGUACACUUAUGAUCUGUUCAUGUUUCUGUAUGUAUUUUAUACUUCAAUAAAACAUUAGUGAUUUGUGAAUACUCAAGAUUCUUUUUAAGUCAUCAUUGAUUGUUUGGAUCUUCUGUUUCCCUGAGAUCAGUUUUUCAAGAGCUUGUUUUGAUCUCUUUAUUUUAUUUUGCUAUUGCAUUUCACUUGUCCAUCAAUUCCAUCCAUUUCCACUUAAG
Molecule: long non-coding RNA, 952 nt
Filed under: Homo sapiens (human)
Lineage: Eukaryota; Metazoa; Chordata; Mammalia; Primates; Hominidae
Description: HSALNT0335985
Source: RNAcentral